This 70-nucleotide transfer RNA is filed under the name Marmota marmota marmota (Alpine marmot). It matches the Rfam family "tRNA". From Rfam's summary of the family: Transfer RNA (tRNA) molecules are approximately 80 nucleotides in length. Their secondary structure includes four short double-helical elements and three loops (D, anti-codon, and T loops). Further hydrogen bonds mediate the characteristic L-shaped molecular structure. tRNAs have two regions of fundamental functional importance: the anti-codon, which is responsible for specific mRNA codon recognition, and the 3' end, to which the tRNAs corresponding amino acid is attached (by aminoacyl-tRNA synthetases). tRNAs cope with the degeneracy of the genetic code in two manners: having more than one tRNA (with a specific anti-codon) for a particular amino acid; and 'wobble' base-pairing, i.e. permitting non-standard base-pairing at the 3rd anti-codon position. Lineage: Eukaryota; Metazoa; Chordata; Mammalia; Rodentia; Sciuridae. RNAcentral also lists the same sequence under 3 other names. The record is from Rfam by way of RNAcentral.
GGUAAUGUAGCUCAGUAGUAGAGUGCUUACCUAGCACGUAUGAGGCCCUGGGUUUGAUACCUAGCAACUC